Humulus lupulus (European hop) is the source of this 856-nucleotide RNA transcript. It is a transcript of the gene named pyruvate kinase isozyme G, chloroplastic-like, with no coding region annotated. NCBI's taxonomy places the organism in Eukaryota, Viridiplantae, Streptophyta, Magnoliopsida, Rosales, Cannabaceae. The record is from RefSeq and is a predicted model, not a curated record. The transcript is spliced from 3 exons.
AUUUCUAUGCUGUCUCUUUUGUAAAAGAUGCUAGAGUGGUUCAUGAGUUGAAAGAUUACCUUAAAAGUUGCAAUGCAGACAUUCACGUGAUUGUAAAAAUUGAAAGUGCAGACUCUAUCCCAAAUCUUCAUUCAAUUAUUCCUACAUCUGAUGGGGUUAGUUCCAGUGUCUCUUUGUGAAUCAGUGGUCACUUAUUUAGUCAUAGAUUAUAUCUUUAGUACACCUAUCCACCCUUCAGUGAUCAUUGUUGGUAUCGUACCCCCCUCUCUCUCUCUCAUUAUUUUAUUCAAAACAUUAUCCAAAUCAUUGAGAAGGAUAAGGAAUUACAGAAAAAGAGCUAAACCACAUGUUCAGUUCUGCUAAAGAACAGAAGAAUUCAUAUCUUUUUAUUCAUCAUAUUAACAAGUUUAUUACUAAGCAAUGGUUGCUCGUGGGGACCUUGGAACUGAACUUCCGAUUGAGGAUGUUCCUCUGUUACAGAUUCUGUCAUGAAUGAAAUUUCCUUGUUACGUACAGGAGGACAUAAUUAGAAGGUGUCAGAGAAUGCAGAAACCAGUUAUUGUAGCAACAAACAUGCUGGAGAGCAUGAUUAAUCAUCCUACGCCAACAAGGGCAGAAGUCUCUGACAUUGCAAUUGCAGUACGGGAAGGUGCUGAUGCGGUCAUGCUUUCUAGAGAAACUGCCCACGGAAAGUAAGUUAACUAAUUCAUUUGGCCUUGGGUGGCCUCUUAAUAUAUUUUCAAUGUGCAAUGGCUAUUGAAAAAGUAUUAUCAAAACUCAAUAAAUAUGUUUGUUUUCUAAAUUUUUUGCUUUCUUUGUAGUAAUGUGUAUCCCACAAAAAUAAUUAUAGUAGUAU